CCUACGGGAGGCUGCAGUGGGGAAUAUUGCUCAAUGGGGGAAACCCUGAUGCAGCGACGCCGCGUGAGUGAAGAAGUAUUUCGGUAUGUAAAGCUCUAUCAGCAGGGAAGAAAAUGACGGUACCUGACUAAGAAGCCCCGGCUCACUACGUGCCAGCAGCCGCGGUAAAACGUAGGGGGCAAGCGUUAUCCGGAUGUACUGGGUGUUAAGGGCGCGUAGACGGCCAGACAAGUCAGAAGUGAAAGCCCAGGGGUCAAUCCUGGGACUGCCGUUGAAACUGCCGGGCUGGAGUUGAGGAGGGGUAGGCGGAAUGCCUGGUGUAGCGGUGAAAUGCGUAGAUAUCACGAGGAACUCCGAUUGCGAAGGCAGCACACCGGCGCCCGACUGACGCUGAGGCACGAAAGCGUGGGUAUCGAACAGGAUUAGAUACCCCUGUAGUC
RNAcentral lists this ribosomal RNA (440 nucleotides) under uncultured bacterium. RNAcentral describes it as "partial 16S ribosomal RNA". It matches the Rfam family "Bacterial small subunit ribosomal RNA", at positions 338 to 795 of the family's 1533-position model. The record is from RNAcentral.